This is a long non-coding RNA of Homo sapiens (human), 733 nucleotides long. Ensembl annotates it as non-coding transcript regulating alternative splicing. Its record names the gene NTRAS. The record is from Ensembl. NCBI's taxonomy places the organism in Eukaryota, Metazoa, Chordata, Mammalia, Primates, Hominidae.
ACCCUGGCCAUGGCUGACAAGGGGCCCAGGGACACUGGAGCAGAGAGACCUGCUGGUCCUUGGGGUUUCUUGCAAGGUGACUGUCUGGUCCAUGAGCUGGGCUGGCCCAGUCUGUCUCUGGCAAUCCUGGGGACAUCUGCUGUUGACAUCCUUGAGUGAAUCAUCUGUGAACACUUCCUGUGAACGUGUGACUAUGAUUAUGGAACACUCUGUUGCAUCAAGAUGGCCAGAGAUUGUCUCAGAGUCCAGGCAGUGGGAGGAGGGGGGAUUUGUUUCCUGGCUGGGUGGUCGUAGGGCAUCAAGGGAUGAGCAGCUUUGGUUGUCUGGGAUUUCAGCAGCUUGAGGGGAGCUGUAGGGCCCCAGAGCUGUCGCUGUGGCUGUGGUGUCAGAAAUGUAAGCAAGGUGCCUCCAUGGAGGUUAGCGAGGGUGCCCCUCUGAAUGCCGGGUGGAAUGCAACCUUUCGCAUGGAGGAGGCCCUCAGCAGCUGACCUCUGUCUUCCCUGUGUAGAGGGAGGGAGGCUGAGGCUGGGGCUGAGCGAGGGGUAAAGUAAGCCACGUGUCUCAUCAGCUAGCCUGCAGCAAGCACAGCCCUCUGGGAGGGCUGGUUCUAUCCUCCUCCUUGGUGUGAAAUCCAUCAAUCUAAUAGGGAUCCUUAUUUUCCCAGCCACCAAGUCACAAUGAGCAAUAAUCUCUUCUUGUUGGUGCAUAUAAAUUUGCUUCAUUCUUUUUUAAA